ACUGCUUCUUGGCCUCUUGGCUAGAAUCAAAUGUAAUAUCUGCUCUCAUUAUGUAAAUAUAUGAUAUGUCCACUAUCCAGGACAAUAUCUUAAAUAAGUUGUUGGAGUUUGGAGACAGAAUGGUAGACUAAGGAGCUUGUUCCAUCCACUCUAUGGAAGGACCUGAAAUUGAAGUAUUUCUACAAACAGUACACUUCUC
Small nuclear RNA from Rattus norvegicus (Norway rat), 199 nucleotides. Ensembl annotates it as U2 spliceosomal RNA. The record is from Ensembl. Lineage: Eukaryota; Metazoa; Chordata; Mammalia; Rodentia; Muridae.